Long non-coding RNA from Carassius auratus (goldfish), 1723 nucleotides. RefSeq lists it as uncharacterized. Lineage: Eukaryota; Metazoa; Chordata; Actinopteri; Cypriniformes; Cyprinidae. The record is from RefSeq and is a predicted model, not a curated record. The transcript has 2 exons.
AUAAUUGUUUUGCAACAUCUAAAAAGUAUGUGUGCACUAUGCAUGUAACAUACAGCGGAUAAAAUCAGUACUGAACACGUAACAACCCAAGUAAUCCAUACAGUAAAUGCACAUUAAACAAAUAAAUUCAUAAAUUAAGUUAUGUGUAAUAAAAUGGAAUGACGGAGGGAAAAAGUACUGAAGUACUAAAAUUGAUUUAAUACUUUGUACAAAAGCCUUUGUUUGUAAUGACAGCUUCAAUAUGCCUCCUGUAUGGAGAAACUGUGAUUUUGGCCCAUUCUUCCACAGAGUCUUCAAAUCUUGAAGGUUCGGUUGGCCUCUUAUGAACUCUGAUCUUUAGUUUUUAUUUUCUAUUGGAUCCAAAUCAGGUGAUUGGUUGCCAAUGGUUAAGCCAUUCUAGCAGCUUUAUUUUUUUUUUUUCUGAAACCAAUUGGCUGUGUUUGGGAUCAUUGUUUUGCUGAAAUUUGUUUCAUCAUUAUCCGGGUAUUGUAGGUGUUGGGACUUAACCAGCUAAUACUAAUUUCCACUAACAAGGGGCAGGAUUGUGUUCUAAUUACUGAUAGAUUUCAGCUGGUGUCUUGGCUUUCCUGGCCUUUUUGUACCUCCCUUUCUUCAUAUGUCCCAUAUAUUUUCUCUAUGUCAUUCCCAUAUUAUUAAGUAGAACUUAAUUUCUGAACAUAUUUGUUUUCUUUCUUUGUAUAUAUGGAUUACUUUGGUUGCUACCAACAUCUGGUGAACAUCAUGUCAACGGCACCUUUAGAAAUAUUUUACUGAGAAAAAUGGUAACGUGUUCAAUACUUAUUUUACCCACUGUAGAUGUAAUCUGGACUCACUAUAUUUUCCAUGUUGACAGAUCACGUGACCUACCAGCAUCAGUUGCGUCGCUUCAGUGCCAACCAUGAAUCCUCUCCCAUGGCCUCAGUGUUUAUAGUAUGCACACUUCAGAAUCUCGCAGGAAAUCUAGAGCAGAGGACAGAAAAUAACUCUCUUAGACGCUGAGUGGGAAGAGUCUUUGGGAGGCUGCAUUUACUUCCGCUUCUAUUUUCAGAGGCCCAUCUCCUCAUCAAGAACUCAUUUUUUUGUCAUCCCAGACUACUCUCUGCAUCCAUCCAUCUUUUACUUAGUUGAUUCCUAUUUGUUUAUGAGUUUCUUCCAGCUGUGAGAAGUUUUUUUUUUGUUUUUUUGUUUUAUUUCAAGAACAUCCUGACCUCCAAAUGUCCUUGUUUUAAAACAUACAGAUGUAGGAUUAUAUAGCACAGAUCAUUAAUUUGAAUGGAAAUCUAUGCAUGGAUGAUUUCAAAAAGAAAUUCGACAGAUUGUUGGUCUUGUGUGGGCAUAUUUUGCAAUGUGCUGUUUGUUAAAGCUUUCGUUAAAAAUAACAAGAAGAGAUGCAGAAUUUUGUUAUUUCCUCUCGCUCUCUUUUUCUCGCUCUCUAUUUCGUUGUCACUUCCGCCCACCCUUCUCAUCCUGCUCUCUUCCUCCCUCUCCAAUUUUUUCGCCCCCACAGAAACUGUCACCUCCCUCCCUUUUCUCUCUCCCUGCUUUUCGCGUGUCUCUCCACAUUGUCACUGUAUUGUUUCUCUCUCCCCACAUUUGCAGAUGUUCCUCAAUUUGCUAGCGAUGCCGAAAAUGAUAUCAGAAUUUUCUGAAGAUUGAUUCAGAAGGCGUGACUUUAUGUCAGGAGACAGUAAAUGCUCCCUCCAUCUCUGUCUCCCUUCUCACA